CCCUUAGAUGUUCUGGGCCGCACGCGUGCUACACUGAGUGGAUCAGCGGGUCAGGUUGCGCGAAAGUGUUUCCUAAUCUUGAAAUCCGCUCGUGAUGGGGAUUGACGGUUGCAAUUUUCCGUCAUGAACGAGGAAUACCUUGUAAGCGCGGGUCAUCAUCCCGCGCUGAAUACGUCCCUGCCCUUUGUACACACCGCCCGUCGCUCCUACCGAUUGAGUGGUCCGGUGAGGCUUUGGGAUCUGAGCCGAAAGAGCGUUUCGCUGUUUCUGCUCGGAAAACUCAGUCGAACCUUAUCAUUUAGAGGAAGGAGAAGUCGUAACA
Molecule: ribosomal RNA, 322 nt
Filed under: uncultured eukaryote
Lineage: Eukaryota
Description: partial 18S ribosomal RNA
Rfam family: Eukaryotic small subunit ribosomal RNA
Source: RNAcentral